ACACUGAUGGUGAAGCGGUUAUCAUGCUUGCCUUCCAUAUCGAGGAAUUGUCUCAUGAUUGAGCAAGCGGCAGGGGUUCGACUCCCCUUCAGUGUA
This is a non-coding RNA of Mucidula mucida, 96 nucleotides long. The record is from the annotation of a GenBank genome assembly. Lineage: Eukaryota; Fungi; Basidiomycota; Agaricomycetes; Agaricales; Physalacriaceae.